Molecule: unclassified non-coding RNA, 238 nt
Filed under: Melitaea cinxia (Glanville fritillary)
Lineage: Eukaryota; Metazoa; Arthropoda; Insecta; Lepidoptera; Nymphalidae
Description: misc RNA ENSMCXG00005013643.1
Source: RNAcentral
ACUGAACCGGAUGUACUGAUAAUAGGAAACUGCCUAGCUGUAUCGACAGAAAAGCUUAAAUUGGGAUUAAACACCGAACUUAAAAAUGGAACGUAUAGAAUAAGUCAAGCAAUGCGUAAAAAAUAUAAACGUGAAAUGGAUUACGUUUAUGCAAUAAUGAAUGAUUUAGAACGUAAAUUAGAAAGACCAAUUCGUGACUUAGACGACGUGAGAACUGUAAUGGAAACAUUAAAGAAAA